RNAcentral lists this ribosomal RNA (253 nucleotides) under uncultured bacterium. Its description in RNAcentral is "partial 16S ribosomal RNA". It matches the Rfam family "Bacterial small subunit ribosomal RNA", at positions 524 to 776 of the family's 1533-position model. The record is from RNAcentral.
UACGGAGGGUGCGAGCGUUUUUCGGAAUCAUUGGGCGUAAAGCGCGUGUAGGCGGCUUGGCAAGUCGGGUGUGAAAUCCCGGGGCCCAACCCCGGAACUGCAUUCGAAACUGCCUCGCUAGAGUCCCGGAGAGGAAGGCGGAAUUCCCGGUGUAGAGGUGAAAUUCGUAGAUAUCGGGAGGAACACCAGCGGCGAAGGCGGCCUUCUGGACGGUGACUGACGCUGAGACGCGAAAGCGUGGGGAGCAAACAGG